RNAcentral lists this ribosomal RNA (617 nucleotides) under uncultured bacterium. RNAcentral describes it as "bacterial SSU rRNA". It matches the Rfam family "Bacterial small subunit ribosomal RNA", at positions 28 to 638 of the family's 1533-position model. The record is from RNAcentral.
AUUGAACGCUGGCGGCGUGCCUAACACAUGCAAGUCGAGCGGUAACAGGUGUAGCAAUACAUGCUGACGAGCGGCGAACGGGUGAGUAAUGCUUUGGAAUCUUCCCAGUAGUGGGGAAUAACCAGUCGAAGGAUUGGCUAAUACCGCAUACGUCUGUAAAGGGAAAGCGGGGGCUCGUAAGACCUCGCGCUAUUGGAUGAGCCAAAGUCGGAUUAGCUAGUUGGUGGGGUAAUGGCCUACCAAGGCGACAAUCCGUAGCUGGUCUGAGAGGACGACCAGCCACACCGGAACUGAGACACGGUCCGGACUCCUAUGGGAGGCAGCAGUGGGGAAUAUUGGACAAUGGGGGAAACCCUGAUCCAGCGACGCCGCGUGUGUGAAGAAGGCCUGCGGGUUGUAAAGCACUUUUAGUGGGGACAAAAAGCUACGGAUUAAUACUCUGUGGUCUUGAUUUAACCCAAAGAAAAAGCACCGGCUAACUCUGUGCCAGCAGCCGCGGUAAUACAGAGGGUGCGAGCGUUAAUCGGAAUUACUGGGCGUAAAGCGCGCGUAGACGGUUUUGUAAGUCAGAUGUGAAAUCCCUGGGCUCAACCUGGGAACUGCAUUUGAGACUGCAU